RNAcentral lists this ribosomal RNA (2272 nucleotides) under Trisetacus pini. RNAcentral's name for it is "partial 18S ribosomal RNA". It matches the Rfam family "Eukaryotic small subunit ribosomal RNA". The record is from RNAcentral. Lineage: Eukaryota; Metazoa; Arthropoda; Arachnida; Trombidiformes; Phytoptidae.
UCUCGAAGAUUAAGCCAUGCAUGUAUAAGUUCAUGCCUUGAUAAGGUGAAACCGCGAAUGGCUCAUUAAAACAGUCAUGAUCUAUUUGAUGUUUAAGUUUUUCUUAACUUUACAAGGAUAACUGUGGUAAUUCUAGAGCUAAUACUUGCAAAAAAGCCGUAACUCUUAGUUGGGAAGCGGUGCGUUUAUUAGACCAAGACCAAUGAUCUUAGGAUCUACAAUUAUGGUGACUCUGGAUAACUAAUGGCGUAAAAACCAUGAAGCUGACCCUAUGUCCCGAGGUGGCAACAUCUCACAGCGGCGAGGGCAAAUCAUUCGAGUGUCUGCUCUAUCAACUGUCGAUGGUAGGUUAUAUGCCUACCAUGGUUGUAACGGGUAACGGGGAGUUAGGGCUCGACUCCGGAGAGCAGGCCUGAGAAACGGCCAGCACAUCUAAGGAAGGCAGCAGGCGCGCAAAUUACGCAAUGCUAGUACAAUAGCGACGUAGUGAAGAAAAAUAACGAUGUAGUUCUUAUUUACAAGAUCUACAAUUGGAAUGAGUACACUGUAAAUAUGUUAACGAGUAUCAAUUAGAGGGCAAGUCUGGUGCCAGCAGCCGCGGUAAUUCCAGCUCYAAUAGCGUAUAUUAAAGUUGUUGCGGUUAAAAAGCUCGUAGUUGGAUUUUUGGCUUUGCUCUUAAGUUAGGAAUACCGUUAAGGUUAGUUUGGCCAAUUUAAACAUGCUUCGCAUACGCAAGUAUGGGUCACUAGCUGGUAUUUUUAUAACUUAGAGCGGCCGUUUCGUCACUUUUAUAAGGUGCGAAACACGUCUAUUCAAUACAUAUUUAUAUGUGUAUGGUUUAGAUGAGUUUACCUUGAGAAAAUUAGAGUGCUCAAAGCAGGCGAAUCGUAUGGCGAAAGUCAUGCAUUAAUGCUUGAAUAAUGUUGCAUGGAAUAAUAGAAUAUGGCCUCGGUUCUAUUCUGUUGGUCUUGUAGAACAACAAACAAGUUCGCUAAAUCUAACAAUGUUCUCUGUUGGGUGGCACUAAUAGUAGUUACUUUUGCUUUUAAUAUACUGUAUGUUGCCUUAUUCGCAAGGGUAAGUGCCAUCAGUUAUUUUUAGCUUUAAGUAACUAAGGAUUAUGCCCGCUAGAAAAGCCUAACAGUUAACAAGAUUUGCGAAUCGAGGCAAUGGUUAAGAGGGAUAGACGGGGGCAUUCGUACUGCAUCGCUAGAGGUGAAAUUCUUAGACCGAUGCAAGACGAACUAAAGCGAAAGCAUUUGCCUAGAAUGUUUUCAUUAAUCAAGAACGAAAGUUAGAGGUUCGAAGGCGAUCAGAUACCGCCCUAGUUCUAACCAUAAACGAUGCCAAUUAGCAAUUAGGCUGAGUUUUUUCAUUAAAAUUAAAUGACUCGCCUAGCGGCUUUCGGGAAACCAAAAUGUUUCGGUUCCGGGGGAAGUAUGAUUGCAAAGUUGAAACUUAAAGGAAUUGACGGAAGGGCACCACCAGGAGUGGAGCCUGCGGCUUAAUUUGACUCAACACGGGGAAACUCACGAGGUUAGUACGCUAAAAUGCUUGACUGUUUGAAGUGCAUUCAAAAGAUAGCGAGUGGUGGUGCAUGGCCGUUCUUGAUUCGUAGAAUGAUUCGUCUGCUUAAUUGCGAUAACGAGUGAGACCUCGACCUAUUAACUAGUAUGUUUGAUCAUUUGGGAUACAAAACGUCUAUGCGGUUUAGCCAUGCGGGCAACUUGUUGUUCCGUAUGGCGGCUGUAUAGAUAGGCCCUCUGCUCAAACAGUGACUUCUUAGAGGGAUAAACGGUGUUUUAGCCGUAAUAAAUGAGGCAAUAACAGGUCUGUGAUGCCCUUAGAUAUCCUCGGCCGCACGCGUGCUACAAUGCUAAAAACAUCAUGCUUAUGUGAGUUGUUGUCUGUGAAGUUCUGUCUAGUUUUUGCGAUUAGGCCGCAAGGUUUGAUCGUGAUGCUGGAUAAGAGUCGCAGAAUUAACAAUUUAUGAAACCUUGGCUGAAAAGCCUGGGCAAUCAUUUAAACUUUUAGCAUGAUUUGGGAUUGGGGUUUGCAAUUGUUGUCCAUGAACGAGGAAUUCCUAGUAAGCGCGAUUCAUCAUAUCGCGUUGAUUAUGUCCCUGCCCUUUGUACACACCGCCCGUCGCUACUACCGAUUGAAUGAUUUAGUGAGGUCUUUGGACUGGCUAGCAUUAGAUGGCGUUAAAACCAUCUACGCUUGGCUGGGAAGAUGAUCGAACUUGAUCAUUUAGAGGAAGUAAAAGUCGUAA